Molecule: small RNA, 65 nt
Filed under: Lactobacillus acetotolerans
Lineage: Bacteria; Bacillati; Bacillota; Bacilli; Lactobacillales; Lactobacillaceae
Description: emrB-Lactobacillus RNA
Rfam family: emrB-Lactobacillus RNA
Source: Rfam by way of RNAcentral
AACUCAGUACAUUUGAUAGUGUACGUUUAAUAUAAUUGGUGCUUAACCAAUUAAAGAAAGAGUAG